AUUAAAUUAUUAUUUAAAUGGGUUAAUCCAUUUAACAACUCAACCCAUCAAAUUAAAUGAGUUAUGGGUUGACCUAACCCAUUUAACAAAAUGAGUUGGGUCAACCCAUAACUCAUUUAACCCUAAACUCAUUUGAUUAUGAGUUGAGUUGAGUUGGGUUACCCAUUUUAACACCCCUAAUUAACAUACACUAAUUGAUGAUAUAUAUUUU
RNAcentral lists this small RNA (211 nucleotides) under Arabidopsis thaliana (thale cress). RNAcentral's name for it is "ATSL241120". The stretch from base 23 to 144 matches the Rfam family "MIR405 microRNA precursor family". Lineage: Eukaryota; Viridiplantae; Streptophyta; Magnoliopsida; Brassicales; Brassicaceae. The record is from RNAcentral.